RNAcentral lists this ribosomal RNA (272 nucleotides) under uncultured soil bacterium. RNAcentral describes it as "partial 16S ribosomal RNA". It matches the Rfam family "Bacterial small subunit ribosomal RNA", at positions 26 to 282 of the family's 1533-position model. The record is from RNAcentral.
AGAAUCAACGCUGGCGGCGUGCCUCAGACAUGCAAGUCGAACGCGAAAGUCCCCUUCGGGGGACAAGUAGAGUGGCGCACGGGUGAGUAACACGUAGGUAAUCUACCUUCGGAUGGGGAAUAACAAUCGGAAACGGUUGCUAAUACCGCAUAAUGCAGCGGCACCUAAUGGUGACAGUUGUUAAAGCGGGGGAUCGAAAGACCUCGCGUCUGAAGAGGAGCCUGCGGCGGAUUAGCUAGUGGUAAGGUAAUGGCUUACCAAGGCUACGAUCC